Molecule: long non-coding RNA, 342 nt
Organism: Notothenia coriiceps (black rockcod)
Lineage: Eukaryota; Metazoa; Chordata; Actinopteri; Perciformes; Nototheniidae
Exons: 2
Source: RefSeq, a predicted model, not a curated record
CAAUAUAUUAAAUUCGAGAUUCCUGUUUUAGACAGCUUUGUAGUGAAACUUAAAGAGGAAGAGGAACGUGAGAUAAACAAGCUGACCAGAAAGUACAGCUCUCUGAAGUCUAUGAUCCAACUUCAGCUCGAAGGCAGAGCCAGUGAAAUAAUAUGAGUUUCUGCAGGCACUGAUGUGUGUGUGUGUGUGUGUGUGUGUGUGUGCGUGCGUGCGUGUUGAACACUAAUGAUUGUUGAAUUCCUUUGGGAAAAUGUGCCAAUACUGUAGUGAAUGUAGAGGUAAGAGGGUAAAAGUAAAGGCUGCAAUAGAACCAUAUCAUACACCAACGUGCUUCUACUUUUA